This is a vault RNA of Gadus morhua (Atlantic cod), 109 nucleotides long. Its record names the gene Vault. It matches the Rfam family "Vault RNA". From Rfam's summary of the family: This family of RNAs are found as part of the enigmatic vault ribonucleoprotein complex. The record is from Ensembl. NCBI's taxonomy places the organism in Eukaryota, Metazoa, Chordata, Actinopteri, Gadiformes, Gadidae.
GUGCUGGUUUAGCUCAGUGGUUACUUCCAACAACAACAAAAAAAACUAUUUUGAUUUCCUGUACCAUUCCUUCCCGGGACUGAACCACCAGGAGCUGUCCAGUGUACUG